Molecule: long non-coding RNA, 612 nt
Organism: Budorcas taxicolor (takin)
Lineage: Eukaryota; Metazoa; Chordata; Mammalia; Artiodactyla; Bovidae
Exons: 3
Source: RefSeq, a predicted model, not a curated record
CUUCUCCUGCCCUCGGCCUCCCUCCGCGCCCCUCCUCCGGCCGCGGGCUUAGGCUGCUGCGGGCCCGCGUCUCUGGGCCACUGAAUCCGGGGUCUGCGUCUUGUUUGUCUCGGUCCCUCUCUCAGGAACUCGCCCGGAGUUCGUAUCUCUGUCUCUGGAUCCUGACUCCUGUCUCCUUCAACUUCAUCUGGGCUAGGCUCGAAGUCUUUCUUUUCCGCCUCUGGAUUGUCUACAAGCAGUGGGAGCUCCAGCUUGGUAAGCCAGUAAAGAACCUUGCUGAUCAUGGCCACCUGAGCCUGGUUGGGGACUCCUCCAGUAAGCUGCCAGGACCCCUUGUCCAGAGGAUCUGCCCUUCAGAAUUCCCUGGAACAGCAUGGAGUGCCCUAGCACUUGACAGCUGGAUGGACAUUUGAGAGCUAGCAGGCUCCAUACUGUUGGGGACAUGGGAAGUAAAGCAGAAGGAUGAUGGGAUUCCUGAAGAGUCGGAGGGUGAAUGGAUAAGGAAAUGUGAUAUGAUUCCUAAUAGCACGGAGAAACCACUUGAGUUUGGAGUUACGAAUUCAAAUUGGCAGUUAACAGGUUUUUGUAGGACAGAACCUUUGGAGGAGAAGA